GAUGAACGCUGGCGGCGUGCUUAACACAUGCAAGUCGAACGGAAAGGCGCUGCUUUUGUGUGGUGCUAGAGUGGCAAACGUGUGUGUAACGUGUGAAUCACCCGCCCAUGAGUUUGGUAUAACGUCAAGAAACUGGUGCUAAUACCGUAUAGGAGCUGCUUCGGCUUGGUGGGGGUUGGAAAGUUUCGGCGGUUAGGGAUGGACUCGGGGGUUAUCAGCUUGUUGGGGGGGGAGUGGCUGACCAAGGGAUUGACGGGUAGCAGGCCGCAGAGGGUGACCGGGCACAGGACGACUGAGAGACGGCACAGAGUAGUAAGGGAGGCAGCAGUAGGGAAUAUUCCACAAUGGGGCGAAGCCUGAUGCAGCAACGCAGCGUGCGGGAUGACGGCCUUCUGGUUGUAAAGCGCUUUCGCUUGUAACUAAGCGUGAGUGAAGGUAAUGAGUAAAGAAGCACCGGCUAACUACGUG
This 468-nucleotide ribosomal RNA is filed under the name uncultured bacterium. RNAcentral describes it as "partial 16S ribosomal RNA". It matches the Rfam family "Bacterial small subunit ribosomal RNA", at positions 28 to 507 of the family's 1533-position model. The record is from RNAcentral.